GAUGAACGCUGGCGGCGUGCUUAACACAUGCAAGUCGAACGGAAAGGCUCCUGCUUGCAGGGGUACUCGAGUGGCGAACGGGUGAGUAACACGUGGGUGAUCUGCCCUGCACUUCGGGAUAAGCCUGGGAAACUGGGUCUAAUACCGGAUAGGACGAUGGUUUGGAUGCCAUUGUGGAAAGUUUUUCGGUGUGGGAUGAGCUCGCGGCCUAUCAGCUUGUUGGUGGGGUAAUGGCCUACCAAGGCGUCGACGGGUAGCCGGCCUGAGAGGGUGUACGGCCACAUUGGGACUGAGAUACGGCCCAGACUCCUACGGGAGGCAGCAGUGGGGAAUAUUGCACAAUGGGCGCAAGCCUGAUGCAGCGACGCCGCGUGGGGGAUGACGGCCUUCGGGCUGUAAACUCCUUUCGCUAGGGACGAAGCGCAAGUGACGGUACCUGGAGAAGAAGCACCGGCUAACUACGUG
This 465-nucleotide ribosomal RNA is filed under the name uncultured bacterium. RNAcentral describes it as "partial 16S ribosomal RNA". It matches the Rfam family "Bacterial small subunit ribosomal RNA", at positions 28 to 507 of the family's 1533-position model. The record is from RNAcentral.